GUAGGUGAACCUGCGGAAGGAUCAUUACAGAGUUCAUGCCCCUCGGGGUAGACCUCCCACCCUUUGUAUACCGUGCCUUUGUUGCUUUGGCGGGCCGCCUUUUGGCCACCGGCCGCGGUCGGUGCGCGCCCGCCAGAGACCCCCCAACCCUGUCUUACAGUGUCGUCCGAGUACUAUAUAAUAGUUAAAACUUUCAACAACGGAUCUCUUGGUUCUG
This 217-nucleotide unclassified non-coding RNA is filed under the name rhizosphere metagenome. Its description in RNAcentral is "partial ribosomal RNA internal transcribed spacer region". The record is from RNAcentral.